Molecule: ribosomal RNA, 653 nt
Filed under: Sphingobacterium multivorum
Lineage: Bacteria; Pseudomonadati; Bacteroidota; Sphingobacteriia; Sphingobacteriales; Sphingobacteriaceae
Description: bacterial SSU rRNA
Rfam family: Bacterial small subunit ribosomal RNA
Source: RNAcentral
UUGAUUAAAUAUUUAUAGGAUAGAGAUGGGCUCGCGUGACAUUAGCUAGUUGGUAGGGUAACGGCUUACCAAGGCGACGAUGUCUAGGGGCUCUGAGAGGAGAAUCCCCCACACUGGUACUGAGACACGGACCAGACUCCUACGGGAGGCAGCAGUAAGGAAUAUUGGUCAAUGGGCGGAAGCCUGAACCAGCCAUGCCGCGUGCAGGAUGACUGCCCUAUGGGUUGUAAACUGCUUUUGUCCAGGAAUAAACCUAAAUACGUGUAUUUAGCUGAAUGUACUGGAAGAAUAAGGAUCGGCUAACUCCGUGCCAGCAGCCGCGGUAAUACGGAGGAUCCGAGCGUUAUCCGGAUUUAUUGGGUUUAAAGGGUGCGUAGGCGGCCUAUUAAGUCAGGGGUGAAAUACGGUGGCUCAACCAUCGCAGUGCCUUUGAUACUGAUGGGCUUGAAUCCAUUUGAAGUGGGCGGAAUAAGACAAGUAGCGGUGAAAUGCAUAGAUAUGUCUUAGAACUCCGAUUGCGAAGGCAGCUCACUAAGCUGGUAUUGACGCUGAUGCACGAAAGCGUGGGGAUCGAACAGGAUUAGAUACCCUGGUAGUCCACGCCCUAAACGAUGAUAACUCGAUGUUGGCGAUAGACAGCCAGCGUCCCAGCG